UCUUCAUUUCACACACUCUCUCACCGGUCAGACAGGCGAGAGUGUGAGUGAAAUGAAGAGA
Molecule: non-coding RNA, 61 nt
Organism: Pristionchus pacificus
Lineage: Eukaryota; Metazoa; Nematoda; Chromadorea; Rhabditida; Neodiplogasteridae
Source: Rfam